AGCCUCGUGGUGUUAUCAUGCUGGAUUGCAAACCCAGAGAAGCAAAUUAGCGUUUGCCGGGGCUU
Molecule: transfer RNA, 65 nt
Filed under: Scaphiopus holbrookii (eastern spadefoot toad)
Lineage: Eukaryota; Metazoa; Chordata; Amphibia; Anura; Pelobatidae
Description: tRNA-Cys
Source: RNAcentral